CCUACGGGUGGCAGCAGUGGGGAAUAUUGCGCAAUGGGCGAAAGCCUGACGCAGCGACGCCGCGUGAGGGAUGAAGGUCUUCGGAUCGUAAACCUCUGUCAGCAGGGAAGAACGGUCACUGUGCUAAUCAGCAGUGAAUUGACGGUACCUGAAAAGGAAGCACCGGCUAACUCCGUGCCAGCCGCCGCGGUAAUACGGAGGGUGCGCGCGUUAAUCGGACGUACUGGGCGUAAAGCGCUCGUAGGCGGUAUGUCAAGUCAAGGGUGAAAUCCCCGCGCUCAACGUGGGAACUGCCUUUGAAACUGGCAAAGUGGAGUGUGUGAGAGGAUAGUGGAAUUCCAGGUGUAGGAGGGAAAUCCGUAGAUAUCUGGAGGAACAGCAGUGGCGAAGGCGACUAUCUGGCACAUAACUGACGCUGAGGAGCGAAAGCGUGGGUAGCAAACAGGAUUAGAUACCCCGGUAGUC
This 465-nucleotide ribosomal RNA is filed under the name uncultured bacterium. Its description in RNAcentral is "partial 16S ribosomal RNA". It matches the Rfam family "Bacterial small subunit ribosomal RNA", at positions 338 to 795 of the family's 1533-position model. The record is from RNAcentral.